Molecule: long non-coding RNA, 471 nt
Organism: Spinacia oleracea (spinach)
Lineage: Eukaryota; Viridiplantae; Streptophyta; Magnoliopsida; Caryophyllales; Amaranthaceae
Exons: 3
Source: RefSeq, a predicted model, not a curated record
AGCUGGACGGGGGCCUCUUGUCAGAGCAUCUUUAGAGGUUGGUCCAGAUAUGUAUCUGUGCGAAUUCGCUGCCCGCUCGUACUGCUUGUCUUUUCUUGUGUUGCUGGAAGAAUGAGCUCUUGGUUAGCAGUCAUUUAUCAAAAAAUAACUUGCCGGUUCUGUUGAGCUAGUAACCCCAGAUUAUUGACGAUUAAGUGGUAAUAGUAAAUGUAGAUCAAGAGAUGAACAAGUUAUCUUGAAGCUAAGCUAGCAUAAAGAUAGGUUUACUAUAAUUAGUUUGUUCGUAGUCAGGAAGUUGUUUUUAUUUAGUUUUGGACUAUCUUGUAGAAAAAAUGAUGCUAGUUAGAAAGUUAUUUUUGUUUUAAAACUCUGCGAAUUAAUUUAAUGUAUAAAUUGUUAUCAUUUUUUCUAAAUUAACUAUGUUAUCGCUAAGUAUAUAUGAAUCAAAGUAUAGUAUGACGUGGUUAUAUA